GGUAGUUCUUGGGUGACACACCCCAAAAUCAGGCUCCCUCCUUUCUGGUUCCAGUGUGAACCUGAGAACCACC
Myotis davidii is the source of this 73-nucleotide non-coding RNA. The record is from Rfam. Lineage: Eukaryota; Metazoa; Chordata; Mammalia; Chiroptera; Vespertilionidae.